Molecule: long non-coding RNA, 1155 nt
Filed under: Marmota monax (woodchuck)
Lineage: Eukaryota; Metazoa; Chordata; Mammalia; Rodentia; Sciuridae
Source: RNAcentral
UCCCAAAGUUGCUUAUGAAUUGAAAAUUUGUAACUCAAAUGGUAAAAUAAAUAUACUAGAUAACUCAGUAUUUCUUAAAAAUGGAAAAAUGUUCUGUAAAGCAAUGAAUCUUUUUUAAAAGCAAAAAGACUAUUUCUUUUAAAUUGUCCUAGUUGAGCUAUUAUAAUGAGUUCUUGUUUUUUUUACAAUUAACUGUUUUAAAUGUUUGGACACUGACAGGUUUCCAGAUACCAGUAUUAUAAGGAUUGGGGAAGUUGUAAAUCAAUGGUAAUGAACAUGUGGCCUUCGGACCAGCUACAUCCCAAUCACCUGGGAACUUGUUAGAUGCAUAUUCUCAGAUUCAUCACAGACCUACUAAAUCAAGAACUCUGGGGGUGAAGGUCUGGUUUAACAAGACCUCCAAGCAAGUCUCAUCCAUGUUCAAAAACCACACACUGGCCAGGCAUGGUGGCACAUGCCUGAAAUCCCAGCUCAGGAGGCUGAGGCAGGAGGACCACAGGUUAAAAGCCAGGCUCAUCAGUUUAGCAAAGCCCUAAGCAACUUAGUGAGACCCUGUAUCAAAACAAAAAAUAAAAGGGUUGGGGUUAAGUUCUCCUGGGUUCAAUCUCUAUUACUACCACCCCGCCCCCCAGAAAAAAAGAACCCUCUACACUGCACUAAUGAAAUAUUGGGGGAUGGGAACUAGAGAAGGUUAGCCAUCUCCUGUCCCAUCUUUUCACCCUUAGAAUUCUUUGUCCCCUCGAAGGUGGCCCAUCCAUUAUAUCCAGAGUAUUCCUAUGCCCGUUAGCUGCUCUCCCUUCAGUUUGUAGAAGAGCAGCUUAUCUGUGAGGAUGGUGGUUCUCCUUCCUUCCCUUUCUGUCUAGUUCCCCUGUCAUGUGAAAGCAUCAAAUCAAGUAAUAAUAACCCAGACUCCCUUCACGUUUUCAUGAAUAUUUGAUACCUUGAUCCAACUCAAAACGUUCUACCAUUUUUCAGCUUUUCACUCACUAAUUUUCUAUUUCUAAUUCCGUGAAAGUAAAGAACACUGGAGUUUGGCAGAGGAAAGAAUAACUGAGAACACAGCAGGAGAGUUGUUUUGUUCUCCAGUCAGGGCUGUUGGCAAGAAGGUAGCCUCUGGGACUCCUUGGCCCCAGAAAGCAGCAAGACCAUUUGGAC